GCAUAGCUCAGUUGGUUAGAGUGCGGUGCUGAUAGCCUGAAGGUUGCAGGUUUGAUCCCCGUAAAGGACAGCUGCA
Non-coding RNA from Podarcis lilfordi (Lilford's wall lizard), 76 nucleotides. NCBI's taxonomy places the organism in Eukaryota, Metazoa, Chordata, Lepidosauria, Squamata, Lacertidae. The record is from the annotation of a GenBank genome assembly.